UUUCUUGAAGAAUUCUUCCUAUAGAUUAUUAUGUUUUUAAUCUAAAUUAUUAUUUUUUACAUAAAGUGUUGUCUGAGUUAUUGUGAAACAAUAAUACUUAAACCAAGAACAGUUUGAUUUUAAUAGUGGCAGCUUAGUUGAAGAAAUAUUAUGACAUUUAUGACUCAACUUAUUGACUUGAAAAUUACUUUGCUGAAUUUUCAAGAUUGUCUUAUAAAUCUACAAAUGUGAUAAGAAAAACAUCCACCUUUCAAUGUGCAUUGUGUGAUUAUACCACUUACUUGCGGGGUAAUCUGACGAGACACGUGCAAACACAUACAGGAGAACGUCCUUACAAAUGUGCUGAUUGUAAUAGAACUUUUACGCAGAAAGAACAUAUGACCAUUCAUGCUUUUACAAAGCAUGCUAAAAUUUAAUCUGUAGAUAAAUAACAGCAUUUUGUAAAUGAUGUAAUCAAUUGUGAUAUUACCUCAUAAAAUUAUUGUAUUAUUCAUGUGUUCAUAUACAAAGCUUUCUUUCAACAUUAUUUUUUAAUAUUAUUUGUUGUUCUUUUGAAAUAUUUGGGUUAGUUCUAAAAUGAGUAUAACUAUCUGCUUUUUAAAAUUUUGUUGUAUUGCCUAUGCCUUACUUAUUUUCUUUUAUGAUAUCUAACUAUACAUAUUUAUUGCACAAAUUCUUAGGUAUAAUUUAUUAAUAAAGGUAGUUAAAAGUG
Parasteatoda tepidariorum (common house spider) is the source of this 712-nucleotide non-coding RNA. The record is from RefSeq and is a predicted model, not a curated record. Lineage: Eukaryota; Metazoa; Arthropoda; Arachnida; Araneae; Theridiidae.